AUGUUGGGUCUGGGAUACCAUAACCUUCUUGUGGCAGCUCUCCUGCUGCUCUGCUCAGCGAUGAUCUCCUCCUGGGCGGCGCGAGACGACGUCGUGGCCUACAGCUUAGCCACCAUCAACACAACCACGGCCAGCGGCCUGACGGUCGUCACCAACCAGUCACAGGUAGUGUCAGGUCCAACCCUGUUCGGCAUCGACCACCCGACUCUCUCCGCGGUGAACGAGUCCGCCGGGUUCGUGGUCCUCUCGCGGACGGUCGAGCUCUGGCGCGGCGGUGAUGGCCGGCAGGGACCUCCCCGCCAGGCAUCCUUCAACACAAGCUUCACCAUGGACGGGACCUCCCCUGUGGCGUUCGUCGUCCUCCUCGACCGGUUCCCGACGUAUAAGGGAAAGUUUAUCAGCGUGACGACGUUCAUCUCGGGCCCCGGCGACCCCACGCAGCGGGGCAGCAACCGCUUUGCCGCCGUCGAGGUUGGCACGGUGAAGUCGUACGCCCCCGAGUCUCCACGCGUGGGCCUCAACGUCACCGUCACGCCCAGCGGCGCGACGCGGAUCGUGACCGUGUGGAUCGACUACCACGCCGUGGUGUCCCGCCUCUCAGUGUUCGUCGGCCCCGCCGGCCGGACUAAGCCCCGCGAUCAGCUCGUUGGCGGCUCGGCCGUCAACAUGACGGGUCGCACCAACCAGUCCGCGUUCGUCGGCUUCUCCGCCUCCAGGGUGACCUAUGUCCUCGCCGGCAUCCGCGGCUGGGAUCUGACGGUGGAGAGGCUCUCGCCGGCUGCCGAGAAGGAUGAUAAUAAGAAGUCAUGGCUGGUGAUACUGCUCGCCGUUCUAGGAUCUGUGGCUUCCACGGCUGCCGUGGCCGCCGCCGUCGCUUUUUACUACAACUCCAGGUACAGGAGGUGGAAGAAGGACCUGGAGCAGCUGGCCAAGUCCAUGCAACGACUCCCGGGGAUGCCAUGUCGGAUCGACUUCUCCGACAUUAAGAAGGCCACCAAGAACUUCGACGGCACAAUGAAGUUGGGAUCAGGAACCUUUGGCUCCGUGUACAGAUGCAGGCUUCCUGCAGCACCAGAAACGGGCCGUCCAGAAAUGGAGGUGGCCGUCAAGAAGUUCACGCGAAACGAGGACCGGCGCUUCGAUGACUUCCUGGAGGAGGUCAGCGUCAUCAACCGUCUGCGCCACAAGAACAUCGUCCCUCUCAUCGGUUGGUCUUACCAUGGCGGGGAGCCCCUCCUCAUCUUUGAGCUCAUGCCCAAUGGCAGCUUGGACCAACAUCUCUUCCAUCUAAGAACACCAAUUCUCCUAUGGGACACCCGCUAUGCCAUCGUGAGGGACAUAGCCACCGGCCUGCACUACGUUCAUCAUGAGUAUGAGCCCACGGUUCUUCAUCGCGACAUCAAGGCGAGCAACAUCAUGCUCGAUUCCACCUUUGGUGCCCGCCUGGGUGACUUCGGCAUUGCCUGCACGGUCCCUCUCGACCGUAACUCCGUCACCGGCCUCGCCGGGACACAGGGCUACAUAGCGCCGGAGUACGCUUGUAGCUAUAGAGCUACGAGGGAGACUGACAUCUAUGCGUUCGGUGUCGUCGUCCUCGAGAUCGUGACCAGUAGACGAGCGCUCGACGGGGAUGUCCCGUCUGAAGGUCACAUCACAGACUGGAUAUGGCGUUUCCAUUGGGAGGGAAAGUUGCUCGAUGCCAUGGAUCCCGUGCUUGCCAUGGCGGGGUUUGACGAUGAUGACGCCAAACGCCUAAUGUUGCUUGGCUUGGCGUGCACCAACCCAAACCCGUCGAACCGGCCAAGCAUGGCGGAAGUGGUGCAGGUUAUCACCAAAUUAAAGCUACCGCCGACCGUUCCUCCUAAGAAACCAACAUUUGUGUGGCCUCCACAAGGAUGGAAUUCAUUGAGCUCUUACUUUAGCACAGAGACAAGUACAAUUUAUGCAAGUGGCUCAUCAACCAAGGCCAGACAGGUGUAG
This 1980-nucleotide ribosomal RNA is filed under the name Triticum aestivum (bread wheat). Its description in RNAcentral is "partial small subunit ribosomal RNA". The record is from RNAcentral. Lineage: Eukaryota; Viridiplantae; Streptophyta; Magnoliopsida; Poales; Poaceae.